UACGUAUGUCACGAGCGUUAUCCGGAUUUAUUGGGCGUAAAGCGCGUCUAGGUGGUUAUGUAAGUCUGAUGUGAAAAUGCAGGGCUCAACUCUGUAUUGCGUUGGAAACUGAAUAACUAGAGUACUGGAGAGGUAAGCGGAACUACAAGUGUAGAGGUGAAAUUCGUAGAUAUUUGUAGGAAUGCCGAUGGGGAAGCCAGCUUACUGGACAGAUACUGACGCUAAAGCGCGAAAGCGUGGGUAGCAAACAGG
RNAcentral lists this ribosomal RNA (252 nucleotides) under uncultured bacterium. RNAcentral describes it as "partial 16S ribosomal RNA". It matches the Rfam family "Bacterial small subunit ribosomal RNA", at positions 524 to 776 of the family's 1533-position model. The record is from RNAcentral.